This 573-nucleotide ribosomal RNA is filed under the name uncultured ammonia-oxidizing bacterium. RNAcentral describes it as "bacterial SSU rRNA". It matches the Rfam family "Bacterial small subunit ribosomal RNA", at positions 631 to 1204 of the family's 1533-position model. The record is from RNAcentral.
AACUGCAGAACUAGAGUGCGGCAGAGGGAGGUGGAAUUCCAUGUGUAGCAGUGAAAUGCGUAGAGAUAUGGAAGAACAUCGAUGGCGAAGGCAACCUCCUGGGCUAGCACUGACGCUCAUGCACGAAAGCGUGGGGAGCAAACAGGAUUAGAUACCCUGGUAGUCCACGCCCUAAACUAUGUCAACUAGUUGUCGGGUCUUAUUGGGCUUGGUAACGUAGCUAACGCGUGAAGUUGACCGCCUGGGGAGUACGGUCGCAAGAUUAAAACUCAAAGGAAUUGACGGGGACCCGCACAAGCGGUGGAUUAUGUGGAUUAAUUCGAUGCAACGCGAAAAACCUUACCUACCCUUGACAUGUCAGAAAGUUUCCAGAGAUGGAAUCGUGCUCGAAAGAGAAUUUGAACACAGGUGCUGCAUGGCUGUNGUCAGCUCGUGUCGUGAGAUGUUGGGCUAAGUCCCGCAACGAGCGCAACCCUUGUCAUUAAUUGCCAUCAUUUAGUUGGGCACUUUAAUGAGACUGCCGGUGAUAAACCGGAGGAAGGUGGGGAUGACGUCAAGUCCUCAUGGCCCUUA